Molecule: ribosomal RNA, 517 nt
Filed under: uncultured bacterium
Lineage: Bacteria
Description: partial 16S ribosomal RNA
Rfam family: Bacterial small subunit ribosomal RNA
Source: RNAcentral
GACGAACGCUGGCGGCGUGGAUAAGACAUGCAAGUCGAACGGGACUUUUUUCUGUAGCAAUACAGAGAAAAGUCUAGUGGCGAACGGGUGCGUAACACGUGAGCAACCUGCCGUGAAGUGGGGGAUAGCUCGCCGAAAGGCGAAUUAAUACCGCAUGUGGCCAAGGAAGACAUCUUCCUGACGCCAAAGCCGGGGCAACCCGGCGCUUCUCGAGGGGCUCGCGGCCUAUCAGCGUGUUGGUGAGGCAACGGCUCACCAAGGCUAUGACGGGUAGCUGGGCUGAGAGGACGACCAGCACCACUGGAACUGAGACACGGUCCAGACACCUACGGGUGGCAGCAGUCGAGAAUUUUUCACAAUGGGGGAAACCCUGAUGGAGCGACGCCGCGUGGAGGAUGAAGGUUUUCGGAUUGUAAACUCCUGUCAUUAGAGAACAAGGCACACGGUUUAACUGGCCGUGUGUUGAUAGUAUCUGAAGAGGAAGAGACGGCUAACUCUGUGCCAGCCGCCGCGGUAA